This 445-nucleotide ribosomal RNA is filed under the name uncultured bacterium. RNAcentral's name for it is "SSU rRNA". It matches the Rfam family "Bacterial small subunit ribosomal RNA", at positions 26 to 518 of the family's 1533-position model. The record is from RNAcentral.
AGAAUGAACGCUGGCGGCAUGCCUAACACAUGCAAGUCGAACGAGACCUUCGGGUCUAGUGGCGCACGGGUGCGUAACGCGUGGGAAUCUGCCCUUGGGUUCGGAAUAACAGUUAGAAAUGACUGCUAAUACCGAAUGAUGUCGUAAGACCAAAGAUUUAUCGCCCAGGGAUGAGCCCGCGUAGGAUUAGCUAGUUGGUGUGGUAAAGGCGCACCAAGGCGACGAUCCUUAGCUGGUCUGAGAGGAUGAUCAGCCACACUGGGACUGAGACACGGCCCAGACUCCUACGGGAGGCAGCAGUGGGGAAUAUUGGACAAUGGGCGAAAGCCUGAUCCAGCAAUGCCGCGUGAGUGAUGAAGGCCUUAGGGUUGUAAAGCUCUUUUACCCGGGAUGAUAAUGACAGUACCGGAGAAUAAGCUCCGGCUAACUCCGCGCCAGCAGCCGC